RNAcentral lists this ribosomal RNA (254 nucleotides) under uncultured bacterium. RNAcentral describes it as "partial 16S ribosomal RNA". It matches the Rfam family "Bacterial small subunit ribosomal RNA", at positions 524 to 776 of the family's 1533-position model. The record is from RNAcentral.
UACGUAGGGGGCUAGCGUUGUCCGGAAUCAUUGGGCGUAAAGGGCGCGUAGGCGGCCUGCUAAGUCGGAUGUGAAAUCCCUCGGCUCAACCGAGGAACUGCAUCCGAUACUGGCGGGCUUGAAUCCGGAAGAGGCGAGUGGAAUUCCUGGUGUAGCGGUGGAAUGCGCAGAUAUCAGGAGGAACACCAACGGCGAAGGCAGCUCGCUGGGACGGUACUGACGCUGAGGCGCGAAAGCGUGGGGGAGCGAACAGG